CUUAUAACAUUUUACACCUAAAUCCUAACCCUACAAAAUUCACCCAGCCACACCACCCCUCUGCCCGCCGCCAAAGUCGCCGGAAAAGGCAUAAUCCGGCGACGCGUUCACUCUCUGGUCCCCAAUAGUCCUCCUCUCUCAUCUUCUCCUUCUUCCACGUCAUCUACCCGUACAUAUCUCAUCAUUACCAUCCAAAACGCAAUUUGAUUUUUCUCCUGGACAGAUUUUGGAUUAAUGGCGGACGUAGGAUUUGAGUACCUUAAAUCGUAUCCUUCCAUUUAUCCCGAAAAUUGUUCAAAAAAGGGAGAAAACAAGGUGAAUUUUUCAGAUUUAAGAAAAGGGAGAUAAUUUUCGAAUUUCUUGGAGGAGAAGUAAGGGGAAGCUUCUAGGCAUCCUAUAAAUAGGGGAUUUUCGGACAGUCUUGAGGGGAAAUUUUUGGGAAAAAAAAAAAGCUAGGGUUUUGGUUUUGAUUUUGAGUCUUCCUCUUUUUCUAAUUUUCAGUUCAUUCAUAGAUAAAAGAGAGAACUGUUUCGUUUUGAUAAUCAAAAAAUAUUUUUUUUUAAAAAAGAAAGGCAUUUCGGUUUCUUCCCUUUCAAUUUUGGGUUGUGAGAUUCAAAAAAUGGAGUUUAGCUGAGCGAGGUCGGAUCGCCAUUCAAGUCCUGCUACUGGUUCGCGGAAUCACUGCUAUUUUACUGGGAUUUUGGAUUCUAAGCCUUGUAAUCGACCUCACUUUUAUUAUCAAAAGAAAGGUUUAAUUCCAGGUUCAUCUCUUUACUCCCUCUUAAUUUGUUCUUGCAUUGAUCGAAAUGUGCUAGUAGCUGAGAUUUCGUUAUGUUGAGAAUGUUCAUGAGCUGGUUUAUGUGAAACCAAUUUGUGAUAUGAUUUUUGUCGAGAAUUCUGCCGUUUUCAUUAAUUUCGGCAUAUCUGCUUUACUCUAUUGGUUCUGUUUGCUACUGAUUCUAUCUUUGAAGUGGUUUAAUCAAUUCGAGUCGUAAAUCUGUAGCGCAGCAAUGUGUUAGGAUCUGAAAGAAACAGAACUAAGGUCUCGUCAUCACCAUCCUAAUUUAUCGCUUUAAUCAAGUCCUUCGGAAGAAAUCAAUGGCUCCAAGUUUUGUUACGGGUUCAUUUUGUUACUUGAGUCUCCUGUUUUGAAACUAAUGUCUGAAUCUCUAAUAUGCUUCUUGUGUUAAACUUUUUAAGCUCAUAUUAAUUGUUCUGGGCAGGGAAUUGUCGCACUUGGCCUGUCGUUUGUGUUUAGGUUCGUUUGCCAUUGAUUCCUCCUUUACUACAGUUAAUUAGUGUAAAAUCUAAAGAAGAUUUUUGGCUUCUGCUUCUACUCUCAUUUUUGGCUUUCUUGUUGUUUCAAAAUUUUCUCAAUGCUAUGUCUAAUUGUUUAAACUAUACUGUUAAUUCCUCCAAAACAAAUGGUAGUUUUGUUAAUUAUUCUUUUAAAAUCAACUGAAUAAGAUUUCUCUUAGG
This 1479-nucleotide long non-coding RNA is filed under the name Nicotiana tabacum (common tobacco). RNAcentral describes it as "long non-coding RNA (NTAB_LNC003185)". The record is from RNAcentral. Lineage: Eukaryota; Viridiplantae; Streptophyta; Magnoliopsida; Solanales; Solanaceae.